This 253-nucleotide ribosomal RNA is filed under the name uncultured bacterium. RNAcentral describes it as "partial 16S ribosomal RNA". It matches the Rfam family "Bacterial small subunit ribosomal RNA", at positions 524 to 776 of the family's 1533-position model. The record is from RNAcentral.
UACAGCGGUCCCAAGCGUUGUUCGGAUUCACUGGGCGUAAAGGGUGCGUAGGCGGUUUGACAAGUCUGAUGUGAAAUCCCGCAGCUUAACUGCGGAACUGCAUUGGAAACUGUUUGACUAGAGGAAUGGAGGGGAGACUGGAAUACUUGGUGUAGCAGUGAAAUGCGUAGAUAUCAAGUGGAACACCAGUGGCGAAGGCGAGUCUCUGGACAUUUCCUGACGCUGAGGCACGAAAGCCAGGGGAGCAAACGGG